AAUAGCUGAACUUUUUAUUUUCUGCAGACCAUUGAGCGUGCGGCGCAAAAUACAAUAGGAACUUUAAACGCGUUUUUCUCAAAAUUACGUUUUUCAAACUGGGAGCAAGAUUUUUCGGACCCUAUUGCUUUCACAAAAAUUAGCGAGUUGAAUUCUGAAUGGAGUUAAUAUCAGGGCUGCCGAGCCCAACUCUGCUAAAUUUUGGUAAAAUUUUAGUAAUUUGGUAAACAAUUAUAUUUUUGGCAAAAAGUUAACUACACGAAAACCCUGUUUCUGCGUUUAUGCUACGCCAAAGACUGUGAAUCCAUCAACAUUCCCCAAAAACCGCUUUGGGGAAUAUCUUCGCGGUUACAAGAGCAACAAUAACGAAAUAUUGAUACGUUUAAUUGCGGUCGCCACACCGCAGAGAAUUUCAAGCCCUUCGAGUGUAUUUCUGGCAUGAAAUUAUGGCUCCUCAUAAACAACGAUCAGCCUUUCCGAGGCGGCUUAGAACAAACUGUAGGUCCACACCACAAAUUGGAGAAGGAGCUCGACCGAAAAUCGCUUCAGCGGUUACAAAGCAUACAAAUGUUCUUCUUGUUAAUGCCGAAAAACGUUCUUAAGUAUCUACAAAUGUAUCCACGAUAUAAUAAAUGCACAUACACAUCCAUAAAUGAUUUAAUGCUUUAUAUUAAUUAAAAGUGAGAUCGUGUCGUGCGUCAUAAUUCUUAUAUACAUUUAUAUGUACACAUAUGCACAUCUUCCGUUUAAAUGGUAUAAUUUUUAAGUUGCUGUGAGUUGCAGUGACAAGUUUAAUUUAUAAAUAAAUAUACACAUGACUUCGAAUUCGACUAAAAUAAAUCCCCACUGUGUUAAAUGAGAGAAAACUUAUCGCCCGUCUGUAACUUUCCAAAGUGUUCGCCAUGUUAAUGAAUUGAAUUUUUUAAACCCAGCAAAGUCAGCUACCCGGUGGGAUACAAUUUGUAUGACCUGAAAAUGAAAUGGGAUGUUAACUUUGGUUCGAAGCAUGUAAUUAUGAGAGGGAGAAAAGGCAGACCCAACAAGAUUUGAGGUCAGCAAACCAAAGUUUUACUAUAAAACCAGCGCCAUUAUGAAAUAAGAAAUCGUUACACAAAAAUACAUAGCAAACUGCUCAAUCAUCCGAACCCUUUGGUUAUCUCCUCGGCCUCCGCGACAAGUUUAACGCGCCUGAAGAUAAGGGACUUACUACCCUUGUAAAGAGCAACACUGAACCAGCGGUCCAUUCCUAGCCAAUGGACUAUUAUAUUUUAAUUUAGUUUUAAGAUUUGAAAACUUAUAAUGAAACUUUUGAUCUUGAAGCAGAUUCAGUGCUAAACCUUUGGAAACGCAUUUAGCAAAGAGUAAAAGAAAACAUCGCUUAUAUUUGAAGAGGGUAACACAUGGAAGUACUAAUCUAAAACGUGUCAAAAGAAGGCAAAGUUGCCAACUAAUUGAUAUUACAAACGUGCUUGUAGAACUUUUCAGCGCCGGUUAAGUUUCAAUGACUCUAAUC
Long non-coding RNA from Ceratitis capitata (Mediterranean fruit fly), 1513 nucleotides. RefSeq lists it as uncharacterized. The transcript is spliced from 2 exons. The record is from RefSeq and is a predicted model, not a curated record. NCBI's taxonomy places the organism in Eukaryota, Metazoa, Arthropoda, Insecta, Diptera, Tephritidae.